This 242-nucleotide ribosomal RNA is filed under the name uncultured Gammaproteobacteria bacterium. RNAcentral's name for it is "partial 16S ribosomal RNA". It matches the Rfam family "Bacterial small subunit ribosomal RNA", at positions 97 to 342 of the family's 1533-position model. Lineage: Bacteria; Pseudomonadati; Pseudomonadota; Gammaproteobacteria. The record is from RNAcentral.
GGCGGACGGGUGAGGAAUAUUUGGGAAUCUGCCCAUCAGCGGGGGACAACCCGGGGAAACCCGGGCUAAUACCGCAUACGCUCUACGGAGGAAAGCCGGGGACCGCAAGGCCUGGCACUGAUGGAUGAGCCCAAAUCGGAUUAGCUAGUUGGCGGGGUAACGGCCCACCAAGGCGACGAUCCGUAGCUGGUCUGAGAGGACGAUCAGCCACACCGGAACUGAGACACGGUCCGGACUCCUAC